UGUCGAACUUUAGUUCAAACCAAAACUCUUUGUCUAUCUCUGGAUAACUUUAUUACUAAUAUUUGUAAUCUUCUUGGGAAUGCAAUAAAAGAACAUCGGGAAAAAGUACAACAAGAAAAAUUGACAGUUAAUGUCCCACGAGUAGAGUAUCCGCGACAAAUGGCUAGAAGAGGUCGUAGAAGAAGAUUAAGAUAAUUUACCUUAUUGUUAAAAAUAAAAUAUUUUCUAUACAUUAUCUCACCUAUUGUAUUUUAAAUUUUAAUUAAAAGAUAUUUGAUACCAAGCAAAA
This is a long non-coding RNA of Daktulosphaira vitifoliae (grape phylloxera), 289 nucleotides long. RefSeq lists it as uncharacterized. Lineage: Eukaryota; Metazoa; Arthropoda; Insecta; Hemiptera; Phylloxeridae. The transcript has 2 exons. The record is from RefSeq and is a predicted model, not a curated record.